This 335-nucleotide unclassified non-coding RNA is filed under the name uncultured fungus. RNAcentral's name for it is "partial contains 5.8S ribosomal RNA and internal transcribed spacer 2". Lineage: Eukaryota; Fungi. The record is from RNAcentral.
UCAGCGGGUAAUCUUGACUGAUCUGAGGUGUGGAUAAAGAAUUGAUGUUGGUUCGUAGUGUGUUGUUCUGGAACGCUUGGCACCUGAACUCGGCACUAUUCGCCUUCUUGCUGCAGUUAAGUGUAGUGAUGGAUGGGGCCAGAUCCAAAAGGGUCUAACCUACCCAUCACAAACACCAUAUCACAGAGCCAUAGACCCCAUAUUAUAGAUACACUCUCAGACAGACAUGCCGAUUGCUCGGCGCAAGUUGCGUUCAAAGACUAGAUGACUCACAGAUUCAUGCAGAUCGCAUUACGUAUCGCAUUUUGCUGCGUUCUUCAUCGAUGCAAGAGCCA